GGCCACGUGGCGGAGUGGUUACGCAGAGGACUGCAAAUCCUCGUACGGGGGUUCGAUUCCCUCCGUGGCCU
RNAcentral lists this transfer RNA (71 nucleotides) under Variibacter gotjawalensis. It matches the Rfam family "tRNA". From Rfam's summary of the family: Transfer RNA (tRNA) molecules are approximately 80 nucleotides in length. The record is from Rfam by way of RNAcentral. Lineage: Bacteria; Pseudomonadati; Pseudomonadota; Alphaproteobacteria; Hyphomicrobiales; Nitrobacteraceae.